This 246-nucleotide ribosomal RNA is filed under the name uncultured bacterium. Its description in RNAcentral is "partial 16S ribosomal RNA". It matches the Rfam family "Bacterial small subunit ribosomal RNA", at positions 531 to 776 of the family's 1533-position model. The record is from RNAcentral.
GGGGCUAGCGUUGCUCGGAAUCACUGGGCGUAAAGGGUGCGUAGGCGGGGUUUUAAGUCAGGGGUGAAAUCCUGGAGCUCAACUCCAGAACUGCCUUUGAUACUGAAGAUCUUGAGUCCGGGAGAGGUGAGUGGAACUGCGAGUGUAGAGGUGAAAUUCGUAGAUAUUCGCAAGAACACCAGUGGCGAAGGCGGCUCACUGGCCCGGUACUGACGCUGAGGCACGAAAGCGUGGGGAGCAAACAGG